UUUAUUUUAGAUUCUGAGUGAAGCGAAGUAGCUUAUGGUUUUACAAAGAUGUUUAUUAUUUAUUUUUUUUUUUAAUCUCUUAACUACUGCUCUAUGUUAAAAUAUGUAAAGCCUAUUUUAUUUUUUACUGUAGAACGACAUAUUUCGUUAGUACGAGUAAUGAGCAUUGCGGCGAAUCACAAGAGACCUGAAUGAGUGUUAGCAAUUUGUUGAAAUUAGGCAGUUUACAAUCGUUAUUAUAGGUAUGUAUUUAGUAUAAAUGAAUACACAAUUUUGUCAUUAGUUUAAAAAAUAAUUAUAAAUUUCAUCGACAGCGUUUUAUAUAUGUUUUAUAAACAAAUAUUUUAUUUCCCAUGAAACUGCAUGGAUUUUUCAUCGAAUACUUAUAUUAGCCCUUUCGAGACCUGGUCAAAUUCUCACAACAUACUGGCAGUUUUUAUAAUUAUUAAUUGCAAUUUUCGAGAUAUCUGCAUGUUUUGCCAACAUUGUUUGAAAAAAUAAUUAUUAAUAUAAUAUAAAAAACGUGGCUUUAAUUAAUUUUAGAUGGUAUGAUACUGAUUACUAAUCGUACCUAUAACUAACAGUAGGUAUUAUAGAUAUAAUUUGUCGGCUUUAGACUAUUUAUUUCUUUAUUACUAUGAUACAUUAGUUUAUAUCUGUAAAUAUAAAAACGAAAUUCUUCGUAAAUUAUUAUAAUUAUAUUAAUAAUAUUAUCUCAUUCACUUUGUUUUUCUAUUGAUAUUUGAUGAUUUUUACAUUUAGUUAUUUUUAAAUGUAAGAACUUGUAAUCAUUUAAAAGAACAACGGUAUUAAAUAAAAUAUCUUUCCGGAUAAUAUAAAAAUUCAAAACUAACUUGAUUGGUAAUAAUAGUAAUUUUCAAUUAAUAAUAAAAAGUUAACUUUAAACUUAUUACUCGUUAAUGCUCAGCCUUGCGUAUUAGUAAAAAACAAGGUUAAAUAUAUUGUAAUAAUGGUGAAAAAGAAAUAAUUAUAAUAUUAUGUCGUAUUGAUAUUGUUUUUUUAAUCUUAAGAUUCAUGUUAUUAAUAAAUAAUAAUUCUAAUAAUAACAAUAUUAUAAAGUGACUUCACUUUUAAAAUUAACUUUAACUUAUGAGUUAAUUAAACUUACUGCUGGAUAAUUUAUUAAUGUAGUACUUCGUUGUUGAUAUAUAUUUCUGAAGUAAUAAAUUAUAACUUGUAAAAAAUAUUUUAUACGCAGAUAACAUGUCAAUUAAUGUAAAAAUGUUAAAAUUGGGACCGAAUAAAGAAGAUAACCUUGAUGACCAGGAUUCUAUUUCACAAGACGAACCUAACAUGAAAGGAGAGUGGUUAAAUAUUUUCCUAUUGUUAAUACUGUACACAAUUCAGUUUGUACCAUACGGAUUUAUCACCUCUUUACCAAUAUUAUUUCAGAGCAAAAAAUUAGUGACUUACGAAUAACAGGUAAAUUUUUAUCGAAACGACAAUAUGCAAUAAGUUUUAUUUUAAUGGUAACACUAAGUAUAAAAUAUUUCAAUGAACACAUGCAGCAGCCUAUUAAUUUAGAUAAAACUAAUAGUUUCUUAAUAUUAGUAAUACCCCAAUUAACCUAGAAAUUCGAAUUGUAUAAUAUGUUUCAUUAAAAUAUAAAAAAAGAGCUGAUACUGGGAAUGGGAGCGGCCACUAUUAUAGGUGAGACGUUGGGAAGGUAGGAUACAUAAGGUUAUUUCACUUAUAUCUGUAAGCAACGAUAAACCAUUGCUUGACAAAAGACAAUUCCGAGCGCAAUUCAAUAAUACAUAAUUUAAAGUACCGUAAUUUUUUUGCGAUUUUCGUUUAAAUUUGAUUUCAAAACGCCUUUUAAAAAAAAAAAAUAUUCAUCCAAUGAUUUUGGAAAUUUUACCUCGUCCAGAUAAGUCCAAUAUAAGUAUUAUUACCAAGUUUCAAGUCUCUACGUGUAUUUAUAACCGAAUUACAGUAAUAAAACUCGCAAAAAUUAAAAUUCCUUAAAAGCUCAAAAGUUUUGACGAUAAUAAAAUAAGAAAGUAAAUCAAAAAGGUGUUUAGGUGAUUUUUCGAUUAAAUCAUUUUUUCUGGUAGAAAACGUCCGUGUUUUUAUAAAAUAAUGAAAUUGUAUGUUUUCCUACAUUUUUUCCCAUUUCAGUGUUUUUAUUUAAAAAAUGGCAUCGAAAAUUAAAAAAUGACCUGUUUAAAGUACAAUCUAGACAACUUGAGCUUUCAGAAAAAGUGCUAUACCUAUAUAUCGAAGCAAGUUUAUUAGGAAAAAAUAUAUCUACAGACUAGAAAAAAAAGAAAGAAAGAAAAAAAAUAAACAUCUUAGUAAAACCAAUAGCUCCCUCGCUACGAUCAAAAUCUAAAAAUAUUGCCAUAUAUUGAAAUAGAAUAAAUAAAUAAAUUUAAAUCGAUCAUAUUUCCAGGCUUUGUCGUACUGGUCACCUUUAGUAGACUCAAUAUUUAUACAAAAAAUAGGCAGACAAAAGUCCUGGAUUAUACCAAUUCAAUACAUAAUAGGUGAAAUACAUAAUUUAUAUAUAUAUAUAUAUAUAUACACUUUGACAGUAAUAUUAACACUUGUUUGUAAUAGCUAAGACUGGAAAUCAUAAUAAACUAUUAUGGGUUUCAUUUGGUUUAAUGGUUUCCAUUAAGAAGAUUUAUAAUUUAAUUUAAUAUAUUACCUAAAAAAAUUGGUUAUUGAUUAUAUAAUUGCAUAUAAUCUAUAGCGUUACAUAUCUCAACCAUAAUUUUUUCACAGGGUUUUUAUUUUUUUACACGGCAAUUAAGAUUGAAGAAUUGAUACCGGAAUCGGGAAAACCUAACAUUAAAGCUUUGAUAAUAUUAUUUGGCGGUCUUUUCAUCUUGGCUAAUAUGCAAGACAUAGCUGUCGACGGUUGGUCAAUUACGAUGUUGAAAAGGUAAUCCCAUUCGCUUUUGUUGUGCUCUAGCAAAUGACUGAUUACUAUAGAUUUUUUUUUAAAUAUAAAACUAUUCUUGAAUCCAUACAGUUAAGUCAUAAACCAAUGAUAUCCGUCACGCCUAGAAUUAACUGCACGUAUAAAAUACAUUAAUUGCCUUUACUCGAUUACUAUUCACUCUGAUGAUGUACACUUAACAGUAACUGACAAAUUCGUUAUGUUGUCAAAAUAACUUCCUUAAUUUAUAUCUGAUUUUAUGAAUAUUCAUACUAUUUUUUAAAUAUUGUUUCAAUCGUCAUACAAAUUAUAUUGGUAAAUUCGUUAUUUUGUCGUAUGAAGGUAAAUCUAACUAGAUCCUAAAACAGAUUUGUCAAACUAACAAAAAAACUAAUAUCCAUUUAUUUUAUUUUUUUGUAUAGAAAAAAUGUAGGCUAUGUAUCUACCUGCAAUGCGAUAGGUAAGUCAUUAGGUAAUCUUAUUUGUAUGGUAUGUCUUAUUUUACUAACGUCCGAAGACUUCAGCAAUAAAUACCUGUGGACUGUAAAUGGCACAGGCGGACUAGUUACUAUAAAAG
Non-coding RNA from Cinara cedri, 3485 nucleotides. The record is from the annotation of a GenBank genome assembly. NCBI's taxonomy places the organism in Eukaryota, Metazoa, Arthropoda, Insecta, Hemiptera, Aphididae.